Molecule: ribosomal RNA, 373 nt
Filed under: uncultured organism
Description: bacterial SSU rRNA
Rfam family: Bacterial small subunit ribosomal RNA
Source: RNAcentral
CGGGGGAGCAAGCGUUGUUCGGAUUACUGGGCGUAAAGGGCGCGUAGGCGGCCACUGCAAGUCGGUUGUGAAAUCUCCGGGCUUAACCCGGAAAGGUCAAUCGAUACUGCAGGGCUAGAGUGCAGAAGGGGCAACUGGAAUUCUCGGUGUAGCGGUGAAAUGCGUAGAUAUCGAGAGGAACACCUGCGGCGAAGGCGGGUUGCUGGGCUGACACUGACGCUGACAGCGCGAAAGCUAGGGGAGCGAACGGGAUUAGAUACCCCGGUAGUCCUAGCCUUAAACGAUGAAUGCUUGGUGUCUGGGGUUUUAUAGUCCCCGGGUGCCGUCGCUAACGCUUUAAGCAUUCCGCCUGGGGAGUACGGUCGCAAGACUG